AUGGCGACCGAGGGCCUCCGGAUGCUGCUGGCGGACGCCUCUCGCUCUCCGUGGGGCGUCGCCGGCGCCGCGGCGGCCGUGGCGCUGCUGUGGUUCGCCGCCUGGGUCCUGGAGUGGGCGUGGUGGACGCCGCGGCGGCUGGGCCGGGCUCUCCGGGCCCAGGGAAUCAGGGGCACCCGGUACCGCCUCUUCACCGGCGACAUACCGGAGAACGCCCGGUGCAACGCUGUGGCCCGGUCGCGGCCCAUGCCGCUCGGCUCCCACGACAUCACCCCCCGCGUGCUGCCCAUGUUCUCCAACGCCAUCAAGGAGCACGGGAAAGUGUCCUUCACUUGGUUUGGCCCAACGCCAAGGGUGAUGAUUCCAGACCCAGAAUUAGUGAGAGAAAUUCUGUCCAACAAGUUUGGGCACUUCGGGAAACAGAGGAGCACCCGUAUUGGGAAGCUGCUAGCCAACGGGCUUGCAAAUCAUGAAGGAGAGAAAUGGGCAAAGCACCGAAGAAUCCUCAAUCCUGCAUUUCACCAUGAGAAGAUAAAGAGGAUGCUGCCAGUUUUUUCUGCCUGCUGUGAAGAGAUGAUUACAAGAUGGGGGAAUUCGAUGUCCGCUGACGGAUCAUGUGAGAUUGACUUCUGUCCUGAGUUCCAGAAUCUUACCGGAGAUGUCAUCUCGAGAACAGCAUUUGGUAGCAAUUUUCAGGAGGGGAUGAAAAUAUUCCAGCUGCAAGGGGAGUUAGGUGAACGGCUGAUACAGGCAUUUCAGACACUUUUUAUCCCAGGCUAUUGGUUCUUCCCAACAAAGAACAACAGAAGGAUGAGAGCAAUUGAUCGUGAGAUCCGCAUGAUUCUGCGAGGCAUUAUUGGGAAAAAGGAAAGAGCUAUUAAAAAUGGUGAAGCUAGCAGCGAUGACUUGCUAGGAUUGCUGUUGGAGUCAAAUAUGCAACAAUCAAAUGGGAAGGCAAAUCUAGGACUGAGUAUUGAAGAUAUAAUUCAGGAAUGCAAGCUAUUUUACUUUGCAGGUAUGGAGACAACAUCGGUCUUGCUCACAUGGACACUAAUUGUGCUAAGCAUGCACCCAGAGUGGCAAGAGCAGGCAAGAGAGGAAGUGUUGCAUCACUUUGGAAGAACCACACCUGAUUUUGAGAACUUGGGUCGCCUGAAGAUUGUAACAAUGAUUUUUUAUGAGGUUCUUAGGUUGUACCCCCCAAUAACCUUCCUCACGAGAAGAACUUACAAGGCAAUGGAGCUUGGCGGCAUCAAAUAUCCGGCAGGCGUGAACCUUAUGUUGCCAAUUCUCUUUAUCCACCAUGACCCUGAUAUUUGGGGAAAAGAUGCAAGGGAAUUCAAUCCACAGAGGUUUGCUGAUGGCAUCUCAAAUGCAGCGAAGCAUCCGGCGGCAUUCUUUCCUUUUGGAGGGGGUCCUCGGAUAUGCAUCGGCCAGAACUUUGCGUUGCUGGAAGCAAAGAUGGCUCUGAGCAUCAUCCUCCAGCGCUUCUCCUUCGAGCUCUCGCCGUCCUACGUCCAUGCACCGUACACCGUGAUAACCCUGCAGCCGCAGCAUGGUGCUCAAAUUAGGCUGAAGAAGAUAUGA
Molecule: ribosomal RNA, 1587 nt
Filed under: Triticum aestivum (bread wheat)
Lineage: Eukaryota; Viridiplantae; Streptophyta; Magnoliopsida; Poales; Poaceae
Description: partial small subunit ribosomal RNA
Source: RNAcentral